RNAcentral lists this small nuclear RNA (306 nucleotides) under Carlito syrichta (Philippine tarsier). RNAcentral describes it as "7SK RNA (ENSTSYG00000030649.1)". It matches the Rfam family "7SK RNA". From Rfam's summary of the family: 7SK was discovered as an abundant small nuclear RNA in the mid-70s but a possible function has only recently been suggested. The record is from Rfam by way of RNAcentral. Lineage: Eukaryota; Metazoa; Chordata; Mammalia; Primates; Tarsiidae.
GGGUGUGAGGGUGGCCUGUCACCCCAUUAGUCGCCAGGAUUGAUUUGGCUGAUCUGGCUGGCUAGGCAACUGUGUGUCCCUUUCCUCUCUCACCACUCUGUGCAUGUCCCUCUGGAAGCUGUGUGCUCGGUUGAAGAGAACGACCUGACCUUCCUGGUAGAGGAGGACCAUUCUUUGGUCAAGGAUAUUCGAGCAGCUGUGCUCACUGCUAGAGCCCCCAGACAAGCUCUUAAAAAGCUUUACUUUUUGGAGUAUUUUAAAUUUCAAAUUUUCAGAUUAGGGAUGCUCAACCUGAGUUACUUAUCU